GCUGGGUGUGGUGGCACAUGCCUGUAACCCCAGUGACUUGGGAGGCUGAGGCAGGAGGAUUGUGAAUUCAAAGCCAGUCUCAGCAACUUAGUGAGACCUUGUCUCAA
RNAcentral lists this small RNA (107 nucleotides) under Marmota monax (woodchuck). The record is from RNAcentral. Lineage: Eukaryota; Metazoa; Chordata; Mammalia; Rodentia; Sciuridae.